AUACUUACCUGGACAGGGUCUAUGAAAAAAGUCAUGUCCUAAGUUAGUGGUCUUCAUUACACUUGGAAGAAGCACUCGCUUACCAUCUCCUAGAGUAGGAGAACGGACGUCGUAAUUUAUGGCGGAGGGGACCAUGGCCUCAA
Molecule: small nuclear RNA, 143 nt
Filed under: Sorghum bicolor (sorghum)
Lineage: Eukaryota; Viridiplantae; Streptophyta; Magnoliopsida; Poales; Poaceae
Description: snRNA U1
Rfam family: U1 spliceosomal RNA
About the family: U1 is a small nuclear RNA (snRNA) component of the spliceosome (involved in pre-mRNA splicing). Its 5' end forms complementary base pairs with the 5' splice junction, thus defining the 5' donor site of an intron.
Source: RNAcentral